Molecule: non-coding RNA, 1182 nt
Organism: Aegilops tauschii subsp. strangulata
Lineage: Eukaryota; Viridiplantae; Streptophyta; Magnoliopsida; Poales; Poaceae
Source: RefSeq, a predicted model, not a curated record
UAUAGGUGAAAUCUAUGAUGGUGAAAAAGAUUAACUGCAUCGAAUACAAAGUUCCCUAACAUAGCGUAUGUGCAUAAGGAUGCCUUUAUCUGAUGGUGAACUACACCUCUUCCAAAAAACACUCCACCCAAAACGAAGCCCUGGACUAUCUUGUUUCUGUCGUAGGUGAUGUUUUUAUUCCCUGUUCUGAUGGAAACAUGGCUAAUGUUUUUGAAGGACACCACAUGCAUGUCUAUUUAUGACCUUCCUAAUAUGAAUAUCGUUUCUUCUUGCCACCAUGGAUAUGCAUUAGUAUGACAUGGUUAGCUGGGCCGAACGUGAGAAGAAAAUAUAAAUAUUUGCAUACACACAGGGUUGUAGUGUAUAGCUCUCAUGUGAAUGCAGACAUUUGUUUUGACGAAUCGUGACUAUCGUGAGCAAGAAUGAACCCAGCAAAAUAAUUUAUUUAUUUUUGUUUGUUCCUUACGAUCCAAUCAAUGGACCGGGUUCCACUAUCAGCAAAAUAAUUACUGAAGGUUAACUGAAAAGUGUAUAUCUUGCAACUGUAUGUUAAUGGGCUUCCACAUGGGUUCAUCAUUCCGAACCAACAUCAACUGUUGGGACUCUGGCAUAUAUUUCUCAUCAAUAUGGUCGCAAGAUGAUGUGUGGAUGUGGGGCCUUCCUUUAUGCGAUGUUGGUUGGUACCUACACUUUUGAUCCAUAAGAUCACAAGAAUUUUGAAAUGAAAACUGACAAGUCAGGUAAGUUGCCAGCCGUUCAACUUUGCAAUUCCACAAGUUAAUACUGAACUCAUAUUGCACAGAUUAUUAGGUGUUCAGUGUUCAAUUCCAGACUGUGCAUGCAUAUCUAGAGUCCUGAGUCGUUAUCUCAAGGAUCUUCUUUGCCAACACGGGCUAUGAUCUCGACAUAGACAAUGGCGGAGAGAUAAUAUAUGCUCUGUAUCUUGUAAAUGUAUGUGCAGCAGUAGCUGCAGCCUUCCACCUUAUGAACAAGUUCUGUCAAUGGUCAGGAGGGGCGAGCCCAUCAAAGAUUAUGUUCAAGGCUACAACUUGAAUCUGAAUCUCUAUUGCUAUGUAAAUAUGUGGUUCGUGCCAAGAAAAUUCAGUUAGUUGUGUGAUUCUAUUUUUGGUGUUCCUUUCUGUUAAAAGUUAAAACCGUAAGUCAAAUAUGUUUCUUACCAAA